GACGAACGCUGGCGGCGCGCCUAACACAUGCAAGUCGAACGGAGCUGAGAGAAGCUUGCUUUUCUUAGCUUAGUGGCGAACGGGUGAGUAACGCGUGAGUAACCUGCCCUGGAGUGGGGGACAACAGUUGGAAACGACUGCUAAUACCGCAUAAGCCCACGAUCCGGCAUCGGAUUGAGGGCAAAGGAUUUAUUCGCUUCAGGAUGGACUCGCGUCCAAUUAGCUAGUUGGUGAGGUAACGGCCCACCAAGGCGACGAUUGGUAGCCGGACUGAGAGGUUGAACGGCCACAUUGGGACUGAGACACGGCCCAGACUCCUACGGGAGGCAGCAGUGGGGGAUAUUGCACAAUGGGGGAAACCCUGAUGCAGCGACGCCGAGUGGAGGAAGAAGGUUUUCGGAUUGUAAACUCCUGUCGUUAGGGACGAUAAUGACGGUACCUAACAAGAAAGCACCGGCUAACUACGUG
Molecule: ribosomal RNA, 468 nt
Filed under: uncultured bacterium
Lineage: Bacteria
Description: partial 16S ribosomal RNA
Rfam family: Bacterial small subunit ribosomal RNA
Source: RNAcentral